Molecule: long non-coding RNA, 1620 nt
Filed under: Glycine max (soybean)
Lineage: Eukaryota; Viridiplantae; Streptophyta; Magnoliopsida; Fabales; Fabaceae
Description: long non-coding RNA (GMAX_LNC001169)
Source: RNAcentral
CAGAAUGAAGACUCCCGGAGCAAUUGCCUUACUCUUCUUUAUACUCCCAGAGAACAAAAUAGUAUUGCUGAUGCCUUUGAAUCACCGGGUUUCAUUAGUUCUCUGAUACACACUGAUCUUGCAAGCUGUGUGCUUGCUUCUUGUAUAGUUUCUCGGGCUGUUGUACCCCUUUUCCAUAAAUAAAAUAACGUUAUUAACAAAAAUAAAUAAAUAAACGCAAAUGUCAUUGGAAAAAAUAUGUAAAGGUUGUCAAGAUGAUACAAAAUCUGAUAGAAUCAUAGAACACUAUCACAAGUUUGGUACAGAUCCAUUCUAGCCGAUCUAUACUGAUAUUAAUUAGUUUUUUUUUUUUGUAUUUUGUUUAUAACUCUUACCCAAAAAAAUAAUAUUAUUCUAUAUAAAUUUAUGACAUUUAUAGGAUUUCAGGUUUCGUAUUCAUAGUACCAUGACCGUAAUGUUUGAUUUGGUUCAGCAUUAUGAUAAACAUAUAAUAUAUAUGAUAUUGCAUAACUUUAUGAGUUUGAUCGAAAUAAAAUAUAAUUCUUUAAAAAAAUUAAAAGUUGUUAUAAGUAGUUAUAUAUAUUUUUUGCAAUGGUUUGAAUAUAUUGGGAUAGGGAAUGGCAAAAGCAAGAAUGGGAAAACUAUAGAAAAUUUAAACUAAGGGAUAAACCAAAAUAAUAAUAAUUUAAGCUUAACCAUGGUCAAUACAAAAUCUUCAUAAACAACCCGUGGGUAUAACACAGAUUGUGGGUAAUUAACCUCACAAUUCAAUAAACCUUAAUUAAUUUCAUCUUUUUUAUAACGUUUGAAGAAACUGCAGCUAGGUAUGAUUUUUUUUUUUUUCUUAUAGUCAUAGAGUAAAGGCAAAGAAAUGCAGCAUUUGUGUCUUAAAGACCUGGAAGACAGUCGCAUCCGUUCUUAUCCAGAAACAUGAUAGAUGAGUCUAAUGUGGCAAUAUUUAAUUUUGCAUUGAAAUAAACUUGAAAAAAUGUAUUAAACUAGUCAUAACAAAGAAAAAAAAUGACCAGUUACAACCUUAAAGUUUAAAUUAUAAAAGCUCCAAUUAUACGUACCAGCCUAUCACAAAUCUAAAAUAGAUAGAAUAGCAAAAUACAAAAGCGCUACUUUUUGUCCUGCACUAUGAACAUUGAAUGGCUUAUGGCUGGCAUUUGUUGUGGUGGUGAGGCUGAAAGUUGAAACUCUAGGUGCAAUUGAGCCUAGUUGAGACAACCAUUUGGUUCACUGCCCUUACUUGUAACAAAAAAUCAUCACCUUCAAUAACCUACCACCAUCCUCGUCACUAGCCAGUUUCAUGUAUCAUCGAAAUCGAAAACUAAAACUAGAACAACUACACCACCCUCAAACAGACAGAUUCUAGCGUGCAAGACCUGAGGUGCAAAAAGAAUUUUAGGCCAUUGGAUAUAGGAGCAAAUUGGUUAAUGGUAGAGAUUUUGCACCGUGCAAGACCUGAGAUGGUUUUGCACGCUAGAAUCCGCCCCCUCAAACAUCCUUCACCACCGACUCUAUUUAUCCUGGUCAUAGGCUCAUAGCCCCAGCCACCUAUAUAAACAGAAGAGUUUUAUGUUUUGUCUUUCUAUUGUCCAUUUAUGACUCUAAAAU